RNAcentral lists this transfer RNA (71 nucleotides) under Marmota monax (woodchuck). RNAcentral describes it as "tRNA.Ser". Lineage: Eukaryota; Metazoa; Chordata; Mammalia; Rodentia; Sciuridae. The record is from RNAcentral.
GUGGUUGUGGCUCAGUGGUAGAGUACUCGCCUAGAAUGUGCAAGGCGCUGGGUUCAUUCCUCAGCACCACA